AAGUCGUAACAAGGUUUCCGUAGGUGAACCUGCGGAAGGAUCAUUAUCAAAUUCAAUUAUUAAACUAUGUGAAUUGGCCAUAGCAAUAUGGUUCUAUUAUACUACUAUUGUCUUUAAAUAUUUAUUAAUAUUAUAUAACUUUUAACAAUGGAUCUCUUGGCUCUU
This 165-nucleotide unclassified non-coding RNA is filed under the name fungal sp. Its description in RNAcentral is "partial internal transcribed spacer region". The stretch from base 1 to 46 matches the Rfam family "Eukaryotic small subunit ribosomal RNA", at positions 1786 to 1831 of the family's 1831-position model. The record is from RNAcentral. Lineage: Eukaryota; Fungi.